RNAcentral lists this ribosomal RNA (122 nucleotides) under Jatropha curcas. Lineage: Eukaryota; Viridiplantae; Streptophyta; Magnoliopsida; Malpighiales; Euphorbiaceae. The record is from RNAcentral.
GGGUGCGAUCAUACCAGCACUAAUGCACCGGAUCCCAUCAGAACUCCGAAGUUAAACGUGCUUGGGCGAGAGUAGUACUAAGAUGGGUGACCUCUUGGGAAGUCCUCGUGUUGCACCCCUCU